This 1093-nucleotide long non-coding RNA is filed under the name Physeter macrocephalus (sperm whale). RNAcentral's name for it is "Physeter catodon (sperm whale) lncRNA (ENSPCTG00005010470.1)". The record is from RNAcentral. Lineage: Eukaryota; Metazoa; Chordata; Mammalia; Artiodactyla; Physeteridae.
CUCCGGAGCCACCGAGAGACGCGGCCUCCACCGCGCCUAGAGAGGCCACGCCGCGUCCGGCCUCCCAAGGCCGCACUUCCGGCGUGGCUCUCUUACUGCUGGGCCUGGGGGCCCUAGUGGCCGCCCCCCAACCCUGGCCGGCCCCCGUCCUGUUUCAGCCGGUGUCACCCCGCCGAGGCGGGGCCUGGCACGGUCUGGCGGUGGUCGUCAUGUGUGGCGGCGACCGCCUCCCCAUCCCCCUUCGCUGGUUUUUGCGCACUUCGGGAGCGGCGCGCGGUCCGGGGCUGGAGCGUCCGAGGACAACGCUGUGGCCAACGUGGAGGAUUAGCGCGGGCGGAAGGAAGAGGCUGCGCUCACUGCCAUCUUGGCUCAGGUUACCCAUGGGCCCUGAUCGCAGGAUAGGGUCUGCUAUGAAGCCGUGGAGACCAGGAUCAGAAAGCACCCGGCACCUGCACCCUGAACCCCGCAACUCAACCCCAGGCCAGGAUGGAGGCAGAUUGGAAGACCCCGCCCCAGCCUCUACUCACCCACCGGAGGCCUGGUUUUACAUUUGUAUCUGUUUUUCCUAUAUUGAAAAUCCUGGAUCCUAAUUAUCUAAACACAAUUACUUAUUUACUUUAUCAUUUAUAUGUAAUGGUUUCAGAAUGACAAUGUCAAUAUUAUUAACAGUAUGAUUAUUGAAAAUAGUCUAGGUUUUUUUUGCAGUUAUUCUUGUUGUUAGGAUAUAUCCCAUUUGGGAUAUUACUCUGCUUCAAAGUAAAUUGAAAAAUUUUGUUUCUGUGGGGUUAAGACCCUAACUCUAUACUAGUUCACUUGUUUCAUUUUGGUUUUGCUUUUUAAAGUUGCAUUUUUCAAAUUUUGAUAAAAUUUUGUGUUUUUUUUUUGUUUUUGUUUUUUUUGCGGUACGCAGGCCUCUCACUGUUGUGGCCUCUCCCAUUGCGGAGCACAGGCUCCGGACGCGCAGGCUCAGCGGCCACGGCUCACGGGCCCAGCCGCUCCACGGCAUGUGGGAUCUUCCCGGCCCGGGGCACGAACCCAUGUCCCCUGCAUCGGCAGGCGGACUCGCAACCACUGCGCCACCAGGGAAGCCCCC